ACGCGCUUGGAGCGGUUGAACGUGGUUGGAUCGAGCCCCGCCCGCCGCGCGAGGCCGGAGGUGGACAGGCCGUGCUGCUCGGCGAGUUCGUC
Molecule: transfer RNA, 92 nt
Filed under: Xanthobacter flavus
Lineage: Bacteria; Pseudomonadati; Pseudomonadota; Alphaproteobacteria; Hyphomicrobiales; Xanthobacteraceae
Description: tRNA-Ser
Source: RNAcentral